Molecule: non-coding RNA, 26 nt
Filed under: Macaca fascicularis (crab-eating macaque)
Lineage: Eukaryota; Metazoa; Chordata; Mammalia; Primates; Cercopithecidae
Also listed under: 1 other name
Source: RNAcentral
UGGACAGAGAGAAGCAAUCAGUGGCC